GGAAGCAAACCUUUAUAGGGGGUUGGCGGUUUGUUGAUCUGUUAUGAUUGGGUAGUGAAGCAGGUUGUAUAGGUUUAUGGUAUGUUAUAUGUUUUCUCUGUUGUUUUGAUGCAUAUUAGGUUUGAGUCUUCUGUGUUAAAAAAAAUAUUUUUGUGUUUUGGUGGUUAGUCAUUAUAUUGGUGUUUAUUUUUUUCCUGCGUGGCGUACGGAGAAGGGGAUUAGUGGAGUUAUAUAGGUUGGGGUCUAGAGGUGGUAUAUAUCUUGCGUCUAUGUCUCGUUCUAUAUUUUAGUCCUUUCUGUGGUCCAUUUUUUGUAGGGGGGACGUUUUGGCCUUCACCCUCGACAGAAUCAUUAAAUGACAAUAAAUUUUGACUUUUCCCACUUGAUUGCACCCCUUGUAAUGGCAGGCCGGCAAGAAAAAAAAAAAAAAUGAAAUCACUGAUUCGUGGUUUUUUGAACAUAGCUUCCCGCAAAAACCAAUAUAUAGGAGGUCUUGCCCGCCCAGUGACUAAUUAAACGGUCGCGGUAUUUCGACCGUGGGAAGGUAGCGCAAUCACUUGUUUUUUAAAUGAAGACCUGUAUGAAUGGUGGAUCGAGGGUUUAUCUGUCUCCCCCUUCGAGUCAAUGAAAUUGAUCCGGCCGUGCAGAAGCGGACAUAAAAAUACAAGACGAGAAGGCCCUUUGGAGCUUAAGAUACAAGAUCACAUAUGUCAAGAACCAAAAAGUUAAACUAAACAGCAAGUGAUCCCUAUCUUCGGUUGGGGCGACCGCGGGAGAAAACAAAGCUUCCACGCGGACUGGGGCAACCCCUAGAACCAAGAAAGACAUUUUUAAGUCCCAGAAUAUCUGACCCUUAAGAUCCGGCCACACUCCGACCAACGGACCAAGUUACCCCAGGGAUAACAGCGCAAUCCUCUUCCAGAGUCCAUAUCGACAAGAGGGUUUACGACCUCGAUGUUGGAUCAGGACAUCCAUAAAGGGCCCGCACACAAGGAUCGCGCUAUGAACUUGAAAAAAAA
This 1019-nucleotide ribosomal RNA is filed under the name Clarias gariepinus (North African catfish). RNAcentral describes it as "partial 16S ribosomal RNA". It matches the Rfam family "Bacterial large subunit ribosomal RNA", at positions 1320 to 2593 of the family's 2925-position model. Lineage: Eukaryota; Metazoa; Chordata; Actinopteri; Siluriformes; Clariidae. The record is from RNAcentral.